UCAUAACCUGGCCGUCAUUCAGACCUC
Molecule: non-coding RNA, 27 nt
Filed under: Rattus norvegicus (Norway rat)
Lineage: Eukaryota; Metazoa; Chordata; Mammalia; Rodentia; Muridae
Source: RNAcentral